Triticum aestivum (bread wheat) is the source of this 446-nucleotide long non-coding RNA. RefSeq lists it as uncharacterized. The transcript is spliced from 3 exons. Lineage: Eukaryota; Viridiplantae; Streptophyta; Magnoliopsida; Poales; Poaceae. The record is from RefSeq and is a predicted model, not a curated record.
GUACGCGAAGGUGUCGGAGAUGCGGUGGGGUUGGGGAAGGUCAUUCGAUGCUGCGCCGGGAGGCAUCAUCUACUCUACUAGAAGAAUGUUAGCAAAGUAGUGACGAUGUUGCAUGGUGACUGUCACGUCAAAGGACAACACAUGGUUCAGAUUCCUAAAAUAGUUUGACGAUACAUGGCUCACACGAUGAUUGUUAUGUCGAGAAUGGUGCUGCUGGAUAGUCUUAUCAUCUGAUUGCAAGGUAGAAAAUGGUGUUGCUGCUGGAUAGUUUUAUCAUCUGAUUGCAAGGUCGAGAAUGGUGAUGCUACUAGAUAGUCUUAUCAUCUGAUUGCAAGGUUGAGAAUGGUGUUGCUACUGGAUAGUCUUAUGUUAUGUUUUAGGAUAUCAUUUCCAGUGUCAAUGUCUCAAAAAUUGUAAUUUCGAAUAGUUGAGACAAUGAAUGAAAG